AAGUCGUAACAAGGUAACCGUAGGUGAACCUGCGGUUGGAUCAUUACCAAAUCCAAACCUGGUGCUUUGGGGGAGAGCGGUGGGGGAGGGUGUGCGAGUGCGCUUCACGGCGUGCGCGUGCCCCGCCCCCCCGCCUCUCCUCCCUCAGUGCCUUCCACCCCCUGUGCAAUGUUAUACUGGGGACGCGGAUGCAAGUCCGCGCCCCCUUUCACAACCAUGUGUUCUCCAAUCACCUGACGUUACCACUCGUGGAGCCGGGCACUUGCGUGCCCUUCGCCAUUAGAGCUUAACGAAAAAACAACUUUUGACAACGGAUCUCUUGGCUCUC
This 328-nucleotide unclassified non-coding RNA is filed under the name fungal sp. RNAcentral's name for it is "partial internal transcribed spacer region". The stretch from base 1 to 46 matches the Rfam family "Eukaryotic small subunit ribosomal RNA", at positions 1786 to 1831 of the family's 1831-position model. Lineage: Eukaryota; Fungi. The record is from RNAcentral.